UAGGGGUUGAACAUGAUCAUGUGAUAGCCAGCUUUGGGAGAGAGAACAGCACUGUCUGAACAUAGAAACAUCUAAAAGAGUUUCCAUACCGCGAGAGAUAGAGUCUUCAAGUGAACAUUGCCCCUGCUUACAAACCCUUUAUUCGAGUUCUUUCAAAGGCAUCGACGGCUCGGUGAAAAGUGCUGGAGAGAAGCUGUUCCGAACAGCCUGACAUCUCCGUGGGGUAGAAGAGAGACGCAAUCUGAGCUGGCAUGCGGGAGUUUUCGGAGUCAUUUGACGGCAAACAUUGUACAAUUAAAUAAGAACUCGCUCGCAGAUUCUUUUCCUUGAUUGCGUCAUCAGUUUGGUAUUUAAAAACUCUUAACUGUCUUAAUUGUCGGUGAUACAAAUUUGCAUCAUUCUGUUUGAAAAAGUAGCAACUGCAGGGCAGGAGUUUGAAUCCUGGAAUAAAACGGGGAACACAGAUUACACCCCUCAGUCGCCUUUUUUGUGGGGGACUGUCGUAUUUUCCCUCAGCUCAACACAUUUCCGAGGUUUUUAGGCAAUAUUUGAAACAUGGUUGGGGAAAUGGAAACGAAGGAGAAGCCCAAGCCGACUCCUGACUAUCUGAUGCAGCUCAUGAACGACAAGAAACUGAUGAGCAGCCUGCCAAACUUCUGCGGUAUCUUCAACCACCUCGAAAGACUGUUAGAUGAAGAGAUUGGACGGGUACGGAAGGACAUGUACAAUGACACACUGAACGGCAGCACAGACAAAAGAACAUCGGAGCUCCCGGAUGCUGUGGGGCCCAUCGCACAACUCCAAGAGAAACUCUAUGUGCCUGUCAAAGAGUUUCCAGACUUUAAUUUUGUUGGAAGAAUCCUGGGGCCCCGUGGUCUGACAGCCAAGCAACUGGAAGCAGAGACGGGCUGCAAAAUUAUGGUGCGAGGCAAAGGCUCCAUGAGAGACAAGAAGAAGGAAGAGCAGAACAGGGGAAAACCUAAUUGGGAACAUCUGAAUGAAGACCUGCAUGUCCUCAUCACUGUGGAAGACUCUCAGAACCGCGCUGAGAUCAAACUCAAAAGAGCUGUCGAGGAGGUCAAGAAACUGCUAGUUCCUGCAGCGGAAGGUGAAGACAGCUUGAAGAAAAUGCAGCUGAUGGAGCUGGCCAUUCUCAACGGCACAUACAGAGAUGCCAAUAUCAAGUCACCAGCCUUAGCUUUUUCCCUGGCCGCCACCGCACAAGGUCCCCGCAUCCUCACAGGCCCCUCCCCGGUGAUGCCCACUGCGGCUCUGCGUACCCCUGCACCCGCUGCCCCCACCCUCAUGCCCCUCAUCCGACAGAUCCAGACCUCCGCCAUCAUGCCCACAGGCACGCCCCACCAUGCUGCGACCCUCGUACCCCAGACCCCUGAGUCAGGCAUCAUCUAUGCACCCUACGAUUACCCCUACACCCUUGCCCCUGCAACCUCCAUCCUCGAAUAUCCCAUUGACUCCAGUGGUGUUUUAGGUAUGGCUUUCCCAACAAAAGGCUAGUAAUGCUCAGAGGUUUAACAGUCUACAACCCAUACGAGUGUUAAAAAAUGCUUUGCUUUACAGCUGCCUUGGAACUAAAAAAGAGCAAAUGGAGAAAUUGUUUUUUUUUUUUUUUAAGAAGCAAAAGACUAAAGAUCAUUACUACUGAUGUUUACACUGGUCUUAACUGUUUUUUUACUCAUUGAAAUAGAUAUUUUCAGAUAAAUACUGAUAAUUAAGCCUUUAUUACAUUCCUCUGUUUUAAAUAUAAUCUAUAUUUGUUUAGCUUGUAAUAUUUGUAUGAUUUAUCUUCCUGCAACUGUAUCUUAAAUAUUUAGAGAGUGAUCAGUAUUAUUGCUAAAGUAACUUGCUUUUUACAGAUGAAAUAGCUUGUAGUGCAUUUAUAUGACCUGAGGCAUCUAGUGUGUUAGGAGUUAUUUGUUAGGAAUACAAGGACUUUAUAGUCAUGGUUUAAAUUAAAGCAUUACAAAUUUGUGUUUUUAUGAAAAUACUUCAGAUAAAAAAGAAUUUGGCAGUGGGCAACAUCAAAUAAUGAAAUUUUACUAAAAUGGGGCCCUUGGAAUUCUAAAAGCAAGGUCACUUGUUCCUUGUAAUUUGGUCCUACAAGCCUUGUUAAACAAUUUUUGUGAUGUAGUUUUAAUGCAUUUUGAUUAAUAAUCUGAUGUAAAUUCCUGUUUUGUUGGCAAUGUUGCGCUCUGAGCAGGUGCAGUGACUACUAAAGUACGAAGGCAGGAUAUGCGCGUCCAUCCUUACCAAAGGGUAGUGACCGCAGAACGAGCCGCCACGGCAACUAACCAAUGACCCUCUGAGCUCUCAACUCUUCAUCCAAUGAUGACCUGCCUGCUGACCAGUUCUCUGGCUCUCGUCCUUCGCUUCUAUGAUUUGGCGGCCUGCCGGCGAGCCCAGAAGCAGCUUUAAUUCGCUUAACACAGUCGAGAAGCUGUGAUGGCCCUAACACUACCACCCGCAGGACAGAAACACUCCCCUUAACUGAGGACCUUCUUGGUCAGGUGACCUGUGCUACUCAGCCUGCACUGAAGUGUCAAAGCAAUAACACUGUCUGGGCAAAGUCCCACUAUUAGCCUUUCACACACUAAAUACACACAAAUUUGUAUUGAUUUCUAAAAAUGAAUGGUUGAGCAUAAUGUUCAAAAGGAUAGACCCAAAAACGAAAACAUCUAUCAUCAUUUACUCACCCUCAUGUUGUUCCAAACCUGUAUGACUUUCUUCUGUGGAACAUGGUCGUAUGGAUUUGGAACAACAUGAAGGAGAGUAAAUGAUGACUCAUGAUUCAUUUUUGGGUGAUUUGUCCCUUUAACUCUCUUAGUGUGUGCACUCACAGUCUCUUAUAGUUCUUAUGCCAUCCUGAAACAAAAUAACACAUUUGAGUAAAUAGUUGGUGAAACCAGCUAUUUAAAACUGACUUUUAGUUUGAGAUGUCCAUAAGGGAUGUAAAAGCCAUGCUUGCCUACCAGCGUUUUAUUCGGAGAGCUUUUGAAAUGCAUCCUGACACAUGAACAAGUGUACAAACGCUGAGUAUCAAUUGAAAUCUUUUUGAUAUGAGGGUGCUACGCAGGAAAUGAAUAUAUAUUUUUCCACAGGUGUUCAUUUUUGUAUUCAGAAACAGUGUUGUUAAAAUGUGAUGAACAAACCAUGUUUAUUUCUUUACAACGACAAAGAAAUUUUAGAGACCAAAAGAGUGUCUUUUUUUUUUUUUUUUUUUGUCAAUCAAAAGAAGUGCCUUAUUUAACAUCAUCAUCAAUUACGAACAAGUAUGAAUGUUCAUAUCAGGUAUUUCUCUUUAAGUCCUGUUUAUGAUAAUGAAAACCAGAGGUGUACAGAACUACGUUGCAGGCUUUACACUACAGUUUUUAAAACACUCUUUUAAAGUCUAUUUGAUCAUUUUUCUUUACGAAUAGUGGUUAAUAGAGUUUACCCUGUCACAGUACAUACAUUUUGACCCCUUUACACUAGCUAACUGUUUGUUUGUUUUUUAUAAUGUAUGUGUACAAGCUCUCUAAUAUGUUAAUAGACCCAUAACUACAUCUGUUACACAAGCAAUUGAGCCCCCAUCAAACUGAGCAUCAAGUCUGAAAUUGUUACUACUUGGGAGAAUCGCAUGAACCUUGUCAAGACCAUGUUCAGGACAUACACCGCCCCCCCCCCCCCCUUUUUUUUCUUUUCUUUAAAAAACUACUUAUUUUAUGAUAUUAUUUUUUUAUUUUUUUUUACAUUUGUUAAAUCAUUUAAGAAUAGUUAAGGACAUUUCCCACCAAAAUUCUCAUUAACAUAAAGCAAAAAAAUAUGUUGGUAAAACUAAAAUUUUUGGACAUCGUGUAUUAUUUCUUGAACUGCCAUUUGUUCUGUUUUAAAUAAAAAUUCUUCUGUUUUGUAUUGCUAUGUUACAGAAAGUAGAACUUAAUGAAAAUCACAAUUGAGAAAAAUAGGAAAUACAAAAAGUAAAACAUUAGACAUGCUAGAAUUGUAAAAUAAUCCCAAUUAUCCUAAAAAAAUAAACUUAAUUUUCGCAAAAAGUUUAUAUAUAUAUUUCACUCUACCUAUAUCUCAAGAAGCAUUUAUUCAAUUAGGCAGGUUAAAAAUGAUAAAGGUUUAGGAUUAAUUAGUUUUACUUGUCAUAACAGGUUGGACUCCUUAUGAAGAAUUUAAUUGUACCAGAAGAGCAUUUUUGUUACGGACAUCUCACAUUUCCUCAUGCCUUUCUAUGCAGAUGAUUUUCAGUUAUUUAAAUGUAACUGAAUACAUUUCCUCUAGUCGGUCUUCCAGUUAAAAUAUCGAACCAUUUCAGAACAGAGGAGAAUGAAAGUCUAUUAACAAACUAGAAUUACACUUUAUUAUUUGGUUAUCAUAACUGAAUUUUGUGGAGAUGCAUCUACUUUUUUAAUAAUAUUGGUUUUAAGAAGAGCAAAUGCAAUAAUGUUUAGAUGUUUGAGGUUGAUGCAGUUGCAUGUCUUUUUUAUAUAUAUAUUAUUAACCUGGACAUUGCAGAAUUCGGCAAAUAAUUUUAAAAGAUGAAAUAUGUUUUUACAUGGAUCUCUCACUCAGUAAGUUUAACCUUGAACUGGAGUUGUUUGUUUGUGUUUCUUUUGCUUUUAUUGUUUGCUUUUCAUUCAGUAUUACUAUAGACUGUGUGUCCGUGUGUGCGAAUAUGUGUUCCAUUGUGUUUACGGGUGAUUGUUUGUGCAAGUGUUUAGUGUAUUGUAUAUGCCAAUGAACUGCAACUCUCCAUUGUUAAGCUUUUAUUAUUAUUAUUUUUACUUUUUUUGGAAACCCAAGCAGCUCCCUGGAUUGGAAAAUAUACAGUUCUAUUUAUAACCAUUGUAACAUUUUAUAAUGUAUUUUUCUAUCAUAUUUUGUAAGUGAGAAAUAACAUUAAAUUAUGUUUCCAGAUAUGAACAGUAUGCCUUAUUACAAAAGUUGAUAUUUGAGAGAAACUUUCAGACACCAGAUAUUUGAUGUUUUUUUCAUGAUGAUAUAAUUCUAUAGGAAAAUAAAAGGAACACCAGUUUAAUUAUAAUUUAAUGAACAAUAGUUGGUCCCAAUCUCACUCAGAGUAACUGUUACAAAAGACAUUAUUAUUUGUUGGGGUGUUCGGUUUGUCAUUGCUUUGCCUCUGUGCCUUCUUAUGUAAAUUGUAAGCUAAUAACCAUUUUAGUUAUAUAAUUUGAUUAAUCUUUUCUUGCUUAUUGUACUAACAUUUGAUGAUUUCUAUACAUUUACAUUAACCCCAUCAAUAAUUUGAAUCUAUAGAACGGGAGUUGUGUGAAAUUAAGCAAAAGAGUUUUUUACUGACAUUGAAAUAUGCUGGACUAAACUCUGUACUGAGAAGCAAUAGCGGAAUAUUAAAAUCAUAGUUUUAAAAAGAAA
Myxocyprinus asiaticus (Chinese sucker) is the source of this 5400-nucleotide RNA transcript. It is a transcript of the gene named protein quaking-B-like, with no coding region annotated. The record is from RefSeq and is a predicted model, not a curated record. Lineage: Eukaryota; Metazoa; Chordata; Actinopteri; Cypriniformes; Catostomidae. The transcript is spliced from 8 exons.